UACGGAGGGUGCAAGCGUUGUCCGGAUUUAUUGGGUUUAAAGGGUGCGUAGGCGGCCCUGUAAGUCAGUGGUGAAAUUCUUGAGCUUAACUGAAGGAUUGCCAUUGAUACUGUAGGGCUUGAGUACAGAUGAGGUAGGCGGAAUUGAUGGUGUAGCGGUGAAAUGCAUAGAUACCAUCAAGAACACCGAUUGCGAAGGCAGCUUACUAAGCUGUAACUGACGCUCAGGCACGAAAGCGUGGGGAGCAAACAGG
Molecule: ribosomal RNA, 253 nt
Filed under: uncultured bacterium
Lineage: Bacteria
Description: partial 16S ribosomal RNA
Rfam family: Bacterial small subunit ribosomal RNA
Source: RNAcentral